This 440-nucleotide ribosomal RNA is filed under the name uncultured bacterium. RNAcentral describes it as "partial 16S ribosomal RNA". It matches the Rfam family "Bacterial small subunit ribosomal RNA", at positions 338 to 795 of the family's 1533-position model. The record is from RNAcentral.
CCUACGGGUGGCAGCAGUGGGGAAUAUUGCACAAUGGGGGAAACCCUGAUGCAGCGACGCCGCGUGAGUGAUGAAGUAUUUCGGUAUUUAAAGCUUUAUCAGCAGGGAAGAUAAUGACGGUACCUGACUAAGAAGCUCCGGCUAAAUACGUGCCAGCAGCAGCGGUAAUACGUAUGGAGCAAGCGUUAUCCGGAUUUACUGGGUGUAAAGGGAGCGUAGACGGCAGGGCAAGUCAGAUGUGAAAGUCCGGGGCUCAACCGCGGGACUGCAGUGGAAACUGUCCGGCUAGAGUGCAGGAGAGGUGAGUGGAAUUCGUGGUGUAGCGGUGAAAUGCUUAGAUAUUAGGAAGAACACCAAUUGCGAAGGCGGCUUACUGGACUGUAACUGACAUUGAGGCUCGAAAGCGUGGGUAGCAAACAGGAUUAGAUACCCCAGUAGUC